GUUCUUGUAGUUGAAUACAACGGUGGUUUUUCAAGCCGCAGGUCCUGGUUAAAACCCUGGCAGGAAUU
RNAcentral lists this transfer RNA (68 nucleotides) under Oryzias latipes (Japanese medaka). RNAcentral describes it as "tRNA-Glu". It matches the Rfam family "tRNA". From Rfam's summary of the family: Transfer RNA (tRNA) molecules are approximately 80 nucleotides in length. Their secondary structure includes four short double-helical elements and three loops (D, anti-codon, and T loops). Further hydrogen bonds mediate the characteristic L-shaped molecular structure. tRNAs have two regions of fundamental functional importance: the anti-codon, which is responsible for specific mRNA codon recognition, and the 3' end, to which the tRNAs corresponding amino acid is attached (by aminoacyl-tRNA synthetases). tRNAs cope with the degeneracy of the genetic code in two manners: having more than one tRNA (with a specific anti-codon) for a particular amino acid; and 'wobble' base-pairing, i.e. permitting non-standard base-pairing at the 3rd anti-codon position. The record is from RNAcentral. Lineage: Eukaryota; Metazoa; Chordata; Actinopteri; Beloniformes; Adrianichthyidae.